RNAcentral lists this unclassified non-coding RNA (305 nucleotides) under Hevea brasiliensis (rubber tree). Lineage: Eukaryota; Viridiplantae; Streptophyta; Magnoliopsida; Malpighiales; Euphorbiaceae. The record is from RNAcentral.
GCCUCAUCAACUGCUUCAAUCUUCUCGUGCGUGACUUUCACUAGGGGUGACCCUUCACCAUAAUGAACAAGGCGAACAGAGCCAACAGAAAAGCCAUCACCUUCAACAACAUCAAUCCUCUUGUACUCUUCAGGCAUGGCCUUUGGGAAGAGUGUGGUGGACUCCCUAAUCCCAUGCCAGAACUUCUCUGGUUUAGACUUCAGCUCCACUUCUACUUCUAGCUUUCCUGUUGAACCCAUUCUUUCUCUUCUCUAUGAUCCUUUGAUCAACAACAAAUCGAAGCCUGACAAAAGUGUGUGAGUGAG